UACAGAGGGGGCUAGCGUUGUUCGGAAUUACUGGGCGUAAAGGGUGCGUAGGCGGCUCUUUAAGUAAGAUGUGAAAUCCCUUGGCUUAACCAAGGAACUGCAUUUUAAACUGGAGAGCUUGAGUACGGGAGAGGAAAGCGGAAUUCUUCAUGUAAAGGUGAAAUUUGUCGAUAUGAAGAGGAACAUCAAAGGCGAAGGCAGCUUUCUGGAACGUAACUGACGCUGAGGCACGAAAGCGUGGGGAGCAAAC
Molecule: ribosomal RNA, 250 nt
Filed under: uncultured bacterium
Lineage: Bacteria
Description: partial 16S ribosomal RNA
Rfam family: Bacterial small subunit ribosomal RNA
Source: RNAcentral